Molecule: ribosomal RNA, 432 nt
Filed under: uncultured Alphaproteobacteria bacterium
Lineage: Bacteria; Pseudomonadati; Pseudomonadota; Alphaproteobacteria
Description: partial 16S ribosomal RNA
Source: RNAcentral
CUUCGGGUAAAGCCAACUCCCAUGGUGUGACGGGCGGUGUGUACAAGGCCCGGGAACGUAUUCACCGUGGCAUGCUGAUCCACGAUUACUAGNGAUUCCAACUUCAUGCUCUCGAGUUGCAGAGAACAAUCCGAACUGAGACGGCUUUUCGGGAUUGGCUUCCCCUCGCGAGGUNGCAACCCACUGUCACCGCCAUUGUAACACGUGUGUAGCCCAGCCCGUAAGGGCCAUGAGGACUUGACGUCAUCCCCACCUUCCUCCGGCUUGUCACCGGCAGUUUCUCCAGNGUGCCCAACCAAAUGAUGGCAACUGAAGACGAGGGUUGCGCUCGUUGCGGGACUUAACCCAACANNNCACGACACGAGCUGACGACAGCCAUGCAGCACCUGUAUCCGAUCCAGCCGAACUGAAGGAAAGCGUCUCCGCUAACCG